GACGGGGGAUGCAAGCGUUAUCCGGAAUCACUGGGCGUAAAGCGUCUGUAGGUGGUGAUGCAAGUCACUGGUGCAAAACUCUGGCUCAACCGGAGGAAAGCCAGUGAAACUGCAUGACUAGAGUGUGGGAGAGGUAGAAGGAAUUCCCUGAGUAGCGGUGAAAUGCGGAGAUACAGGGAAGAACACCGGAGGCGAAAGCGUUCUACUGGAACACACCUGACACUGAGAGACGAAAGCUAGGGGAACGAAUGGG
Molecule: ribosomal RNA, 253 nt
Filed under: uncultured bacterium
Lineage: Bacteria
Description: partial 16S ribosomal RNA
Rfam family: Bacterial small subunit ribosomal RNA
Source: RNAcentral